Molecule: ribosomal RNA, 397 nt
Filed under: Imbricatea sp.
Lineage: Eukaryota; Cercozoa; Imbricatea
Description: partial small subunit ribosomal RNA
Rfam family: Eukaryotic small subunit ribosomal RNA
Source: RNAcentral
AUUCCAGCUCCAGUAGCGUAUAUUAAUGUUGUUGCAGUUAAAAAGCUCGUAGUUGGAUUUCUGACUUGACGCGCCUGGCCCGCCUUGCAUUUCGCGGGUGAGUGCCGGAGCGCGUCGGUCAUCCUUCUAGAGAACGGCGCUACCCUUCACUGGGUCGGCGUCGCAAUCUAGAUCUUUUACUUUGAAAAAAUUAGAGUGUUCAAGGCAGGCUCGCGCUGUGAAUACAUUAGCAUGGAAUAAUAAGAUAGGACUAUGGUACUAUUUUGUUGGUUUGUGCACCAUGGUAAUGAUUAAUAGGGACAGUUGGGGGUAUUCGUAUUCCAUUGUCAGAGGUGAAAUUCUUGGAUUUAUGAAAGAUGAACUCAUGCGAAAGCAUUUACCAAGGAUGUUUUCAUCA